UACGUAGGCGGCUUGCCAAGUUGGGUGUGAAAGCCCGGGGCUCAACCCCGGAACUGCAUUCAAAACUGGCUGGCUAGAGAUCGGAAGAGGUAAGUGGAAUUCCCAGUGUAGAGGUGAAAUUCGUAGAUAUUGGGAAGAACACCGGUGGCGAAGGCGACUUACUGGUCCGAUACUGACGCUGAGGUACGAAAGCGUGGGGAGCAAACA
RNAcentral lists this ribosomal RNA (207 nucleotides) under uncultured bacterium. RNAcentral's name for it is "partial 16S ribosomal RNA". It matches the Rfam family "Bacterial small subunit ribosomal RNA", at positions 568 to 774 of the family's 1533-position model. The record is from RNAcentral.